CCUUGUACACACCGCCCGUCACACCAUGGGGGUGGGUUCCACCAGAAGUAGGUAGCCUAACCGCAAGGAGGGCGCUUACCACGGUGAGAUUCAUGACUGGGGUG
This 104-nucleotide ribosomal RNA is filed under the name uncultured bacterium. RNAcentral's name for it is "partial 16S ribosomal RNA". It matches the Rfam family "Bacterial small subunit ribosomal RNA", at positions 1379 to 1482 of the family's 1533-position model. The record is from RNAcentral.